RNAcentral lists this ribosomal RNA (497 nucleotides) under uncultured bacterium. RNAcentral's name for it is "partial 16S ribosomal RNA". It matches the Rfam family "Bacterial small subunit ribosomal RNA", at positions 28 to 507 of the family's 1533-position model. The record is from RNAcentral.
GAUGAACGCUGGCGGCGUGCCUAAUACAUGCAAGUCGAGCGAACAGAUGAUGAGCUUGCUCCUCUGACGUUAGCGGCGGACGGGUGAGUAACACGUGGAUAACCUACCUAUAUGACUGGGAUAACUUCGGGAAACCGGAGCUACUACCGGCUAAUAUAUUGAACCGCAUGGUUCAAUAGUGAAAGACGGCUUUGCUGUCACUUAUAGAUGAAUCCGCGCCGCAUUAGCUAGUUGGUAAGGUAACGGCUUACCAAGGCGACGAUGCGUAGCCGACCUGAGAGGGUGAUCGGCCACACUGGAACUGAGACACGGUCCAGACUCCUACGGGAGGCAGCAGUAGGGAAUCUUCCGCAAUGGGCGAAAGCUUGACGGAGCAACGCCGCGUGAGUGAUGAAGGUCUUCGGAUCGUAAAGCUCUGUUAUUAGGGAAGAACAAAUGUGUAAGUAACUAUGCACGUCUUGACGGUACCUAAUCAGAAAGCCACGGCUAACUACGUG